This 119-nucleotide ribosomal RNA is filed under the name Arabidopsis thaliana x Arabidopsis arenosa. The record is from RNAcentral. Lineage: Eukaryota; Viridiplantae; Streptophyta; Magnoliopsida; Brassicales; Brassicaceae.
GGAUGCGAUCAUACCAGCACUAAUGCACCAGAUCCCAUCAAAACUCCGCUGUUAAGCGUGCUUGGGCGAGAGUAGUACUAGGAUGGGUGACCUCCAGGAAAGUCCUCGUGUUGCAUCCC